Molecule: ribosomal RNA, 428 nt
Filed under: uncultured bacterium
Lineage: Bacteria
Description: partial 16S ribosomal RNA
Rfam family: Bacterial small subunit ribosomal RNA
Source: RNAcentral
GUCGAGAAUCUUGGGCAAUGCGCGAAAGCGUGACCCAGCAAUGCCGCGUGUAUGAUGAAGGCUCUCGGGUUGUAAACUUCUUUGACAGGGGACGAAAUAAAUGACGGUACCCUGAAAACAAGCCACGGCUAACUACGUGCCAGCAGCCGCGGUAAUACGUAGGUGGCGAGCGUUGUCCGGAUUUACUGGGUGUAAAGGGCGUGUAGGCGGGGCGGUAAGUCAGAUGUGAAAUAUGGGGGCUCAACCCUCAAACUGCAUUUGAAACUAUCGUUCUUGAGUGAUGGAGAGGCAGGCGGAAUUCCGUGUGUAGCGGUGAAAUGCGUAGAUAUACGGAGGAACACCAGUGGCGAAGGCGGCCUGCUGGACAUUAACUGACGCUGAGGCGCGAAAGCGUGGGGAGCAAACAGGAUUAGAAACCCCAGUAGUCC